UACGAAGGGGGGCUAGCGUUGCUCGGAAUUACUGGGCGUAAAGCGCACGUAGGCGGAUCUUUAAGUCAGGGGUGAAAUCCCGAGGCUCAACCUCGGAACUGCCUUUGAUACUGGGGAUCUCGAGUCCGGGAGAGGUGAGUGGAACUGCGAGUGUAGAGGUGAAAUUCGUAGAUAUUCGCAAGAACACCAGUGGCGAAGGCGGCUCACUGGCCCGGAACUGACGCUGAGGUGCGAAAGCGUGGGGAGCAACAGG
Molecule: ribosomal RNA, 253 nt
Filed under: uncultured bacterium
Lineage: Bacteria
Description: partial 16S ribosomal RNA
Rfam family: Bacterial small subunit ribosomal RNA
Source: RNAcentral